RNAcentral lists this ribosomal RNA (253 nucleotides) under uncultured bacterium. RNAcentral's name for it is "partial 16S ribosomal RNA". It matches the Rfam family "Bacterial small subunit ribosomal RNA", at positions 524 to 776 of the family's 1533-position model. The record is from RNAcentral.
UACGUAGGGGGCAAGCGUUGUCCGGAUUUAUUGGGCGUAAAGAGCGUGUAGGCGGCCAGACAGGUCUGGUGUGAAAACUCGAGGCUCAACCUCGAGAUGUCAUCGGAAACCAUCUGGCUAGAGUCCGGAAGAGGAGAGUGGAAUUCCUGGUGUAGCGGUGAAAUGCGCAGAUAUCAGGAAGAACACCUAUGGCGAAGGCAGCUCUCUGGGACGGUACCGACGCUGAGACGCGAAAGCGUGGGGAGCGAACAGG